Molecule: ribosomal RNA, 510 nt
Filed under: uncultured Planctomycetota bacterium
Lineage: Bacteria; Pseudomonadati; Planctomycetota
Description: bacterial SSU rRNA
Rfam family: Bacterial small subunit ribosomal RNA
Source: RNAcentral
CGGAGCGACGCCGCGUGCGGGAUGAAGGCCUCGGGUUGUAACCGCUGUCAGUGGGGAGCAAAUGCAUCGGGGUUCUCCCCGGUGUUGAGCGAUCCGCAGAGGAAGCACAGGCUAAUCCGUGCCAGCAGCCGCGGUAAUACGGAAUGUGCAAACGUUAUUCGGAAUCACUGGGCUUAAAGAGUCCGUAGGCGGCUUGUUAGGUGAGGUGUGAAAUCCCCCGGCUCAACCGAGGAAUUGCGCUUCAAACCGGCGAGCUUGAGGAAGAUAGAGGUGGGCGGAACUGAUGGUGGAGCGGUGAAAUGCGUUGAUAUCAUCAGGAACACCGGAGGCGAAAGCGGCCCACUGGGUCUUAUCUGACGCUGAGGGACGAAAGCUAGGGGAGCGAACGGGAUUAGAUACCCCGGUAGUCCUAGCCUUAAACGAUGAGCACUAGACCGAAGGAUUUCCACAAUUUUUUGGUCGUAGCGAAAGUGUUAAGUGCUCCGCCUGGGGAGUAUGGUCGCAAGGCUG